Molecule: ribosomal RNA, 237 nt
Filed under: Limosilactobacillus balticus
Lineage: Bacteria; Bacillati; Bacillota; Bacilli; Lactobacillales; Lactobacillaceae
Description: Limosilactobacillus sp. BG-AF3-A partial 16S ribosomal RNA
Rfam family: Bacterial small subunit ribosomal RNA
Source: RNAcentral
GGUGAGUAACACGUAGGUAACCUGCCCCGGAGCGGGGGAUAACAUUUGGAAACAGAUGCUAAUACCGCAUAACAACAAAAGCCACAUGGCUUUUGUUUGAAAGAUGGCUUUGGCUAUCGCUCUGGGAUGGACCUGCGGUGCAUUAGCUAGUUGGUAAGGUAACGGCUUACCAAGGCGAUGAUGCAUAGCCGAGUUGAGAGACUGAUCGGCCACAAUGGAACUGAGACACGGUCCAUA